AGUUGUAGAAUCACUGGUGAAUAAGGGGUGGGCAAGUUCUGGUGUCAGCCGCCGCGGUAAAACCAGCACCUCGAGUGGUCAGGAGGUUUAUUGGGCCUAAAGCAUCCGUAGCCGGUUGCAUAAGUUUUCGGUUAAAUCUAUGCGCUUAACGUAUAGGCCGCCGAAAAUACUGUGCAGCUAGGGAGUGGGAGAGGUACACGGUACUCGAUAGGAAGGGGUAAAAUCCUUUGAUCUAUUGAUGACCACCUGUGGCGAAGGCGGUGUACCAGAACACGUUCGACGAUGAGGGAUGAAAGCUGGGGGAGCAAACCGGAUUAGAUACCCGGGUAGUCCCAGCUGUAAACGAUGCAGACUCGGUGAUGCAUUGGCUUGUGGCCAAUGCAGUGCCGCAGGGAAGCCGUUAAGUCUGCCGCCUGGGAAGUACGUACGCAAGUAUGAAACUUAAAGGAAUUGGCGGGGGAGCACCACAAGGGGUGAAGCCUGCGGUUCAAUUGGAGUCAACGCCAGAAAUCUUACCUGGGGAGACAGCAGAAUGAAGGUCAAGCUGAAGACUUUACCAGACACGCUGAGAGGUGGUGCAUGGCCGUCGCCAGCUCGUGCCGUGAGAUGUCCUGUUAAGUCAGGUAACGAGCGAGACCCCUGCGUCUAGUUGCUACCAUUACUCUCUGGAGCAGUGGAGCGAAUUAGACGGACCGCCACAGUUAAUGUGGAGGAAGGAAGGGGCCACGGCAGGUCAGUAUGCCCCGAAACCCUAGGGCUACACGCGGGCUGCAAUGGUAUUGACAAUGUGUUCCGAAUCCGAAAGGAGGAGGCAAUCAUCAAACAUAUCUCAGUUAUGACUGAGGGC
RNAcentral lists this ribosomal RNA (847 nucleotides) under uncultured archaeon. RNAcentral describes it as "bacterial SSU rRNA". It matches the Rfam family "Archaeal small subunit ribosomal RNA", at positions 415 to 1261 of the family's 1478-position model. The record is from RNAcentral.